AUUCUCGGGGCGGGGUGAAAUUCCCCACCGGCGGUGACAGCCCGCGAGCGCCUUGGUUUCACGACCAAGGGUCAGCAGAUUUGGUGAAAUUCCAAAGCCGACGGUUAUAGUCCGGAUGAAAGAGAAU
RNAcentral lists this non-coding RNA (127 nucleotides) under marine eukaryotic metagenome. Its description in RNAcentral is "FMN riboswitch (RFN element)". It matches the Rfam family "FMN riboswitch aptamer (RFN element)". From Rfam's summary of the family: The RFN element is a highly conserved domain that is found frequently in the 5'-untranslated regions of prokaryotic mRNAs that encode for flavin mononucleotide (FMN) biosynthesis and transport proteins. The record is from RNAcentral.